RNAcentral lists this signal recognition particle RNA (267 nucleotides) under Candidatus Vecturithrix granuli. RNAcentral describes it as "Bacterial large signal recognition particle RNA". It matches the Rfam family "Bacterial large signal recognition particle RNA". From Rfam's summary of the family: The signal recognition particle (SRP) is a universally conserved ribonucleoprotein involved in the co-translational targeting of proteins to membranes. Archaeal SRP consists of a 7S RNA and homologues of the eukaryotic SRP19 and SRP54 proteins. In most bacteria, the SRP consists of a 4.5S RNA and the Ffh protein (a homologue of the eukaryotic SRP54 protein). Lineage: Bacteria; Candidatus Moduliflexota; Candidatus Vecturitrichia; Candidatus Vecturitrichales; Candidatus Vecturitrichaceae. The record is from Rfam by way of RNAcentral.
CCGUGCUAAACGGGGAGGUAGCGGUGCCCUGUACCCGCAAUCCGCUAUAGCGGGGUUGAAUUCCCGACUCGAGGUUUUGUUUUGUCAGCGAGAGGGUGAGUAAGUGAUGGUGAUCUUCGGGUCCUAUGCGACGAGAGCUUCUGAACCGGGUCAGAUCCUGACGGAAGCAGCCAUAAGGAAUGUCUUUCGGGCGCCGUGGGGUAGCCUGGAGGGAGUUAACUGCUUACUUUCUCCUGGGAAGAUAAUUAUCGAAAGUUGGGUGCAUGG